This 649-nucleotide ribosomal RNA is filed under the name uncultured bacterium. RNAcentral's name for it is "bacterial SSU rRNA". It matches the Rfam family "Bacterial small subunit ribosomal RNA", at positions 46 to 692 of the family's 1533-position model. The record is from RNAcentral.
GUCUUAAACAUGCAAGUCGAACGGUCAAAAUGAAGGUGCUUGCACCUGAAAGACGAGUGGCGGAUGGGUGCGUAAUACGUAGGAACCUGCCUUGAAGUGGGGGACAACCAUGGGAAACUAUGGCUAAUACCCCAUAAUACCGUAAGGUUAAAGGAUGGACUUGUUCAUUCGCUUCAAGAUGGGCCUGCGGGCUAUCAGCUUGUUGGUGAGGUAAUGGCUCACCAAGGCUACGACGGCUAUCCGGCCUGAGAGGGCGAUCGGACACACUGGCACUGAGACACGGGCCAGACUCCUACGGGAGGCAGCAGUUAAGAAUCUUGCGCAAUGGGCGAAAGCCUGACGCAGCCACGCCGCGUGAGCGAUGAAGGCCUUAGGGUUGUAAAGCUCGUUUAGAUGGGAAGAAUAAGUAUGGUCUAAUAGGCCAUGCGAUGACCUACCAUCCACAAGCCCCGGCUAAUUACGUGCCAGCAGCCGCGGUAAUACGUAUGGGGCAAGCGUUGUUCGGAUUUAUUGGGCGUAAAGGGCACGCAGGCGGACUGUUAAGUUGGAUGUAUAAUCGUCAGGCUCAACCUGAUUCCUGCAUCCAAUACUGGCAGUCUAGAGUCUCGGAGGGGAAAGCGGAGUUCUCGGUGUAGCGGUGGGAUGCGUA